This 347-nucleotide ribosomal RNA is filed under the name Ornithonyssus sp. LEcEN:SIA:Ornis91. Its description in RNAcentral is "partial large subunit ribosomal RNA". The stretch from base 101 to 347 matches the Rfam family "Bacterial large subunit ribosomal RNA", at positions 2079 to 2608 of the family's 2925-position model. Lineage: Eukaryota; Metazoa; Arthropoda; Arachnida; Mesostigmata; Macronyssidae. The record is from RNAcentral.
UUUAAAUGGGUGCUAAAAGAAUGGAUGAAUGGGGGUAAACUUUUUUUUAAAAAAAAAUUGAAUUUAAAAUAAAAAUAAAAAUGUUUUUAUAAAAAUAUUAGACAAGAAGACCCUAAAAUCUUUAAUUAUUAAGUAAUUUUAAUUGGGGCAAUUAAAAAAUAAAAAGUAAUUUUAUUAAGAAAGUUUUUAAAAAGUAGGUAAGAUACUUUAGGGAUAACAGCGUUAUUAUUAUGGAGAGUUCAUAUUGAUAUAAUAGUUUGCGACCUCGAUGUUGAAUUAAUGAGUCUUUAUGGUGAAGAAGCUAUAGAAGAGAGAUUGUUCAUCUUUUUAAUCAUUACUUGAUCUGA